CAUGCUAUAUAUAUAUGAUUUAUGUUGUUUUCUCCCUGUCCCACGUCCCCCCAUCUCUCCUUCCCUCCUCACGCGAAUCAACAACUGUGAAGGCUGGAUUUCCCAAACAGCUUUAUUGAGAUGUAAUUUACAUCCCAUCAAGUUCAGCCAGCUAGUGUCCAAUUUAACGGGUUUUAGCAUAUUCACGAAGUUGUGCAACUAUCACCAUAAGUAAAUUUUAGAACAUUUUCCUCACCCAGAAAAGAAUCCCCAUGCCCAUUAGCAGUUCCUCCCCAUGACAGAGGGAGGGCAGGAUUUUGCCGGUUUUGGUCACCAUUGAACCCUAGCCCAGCACAGUGCCUGCCAGACAGUAGGGACCCAACAUUCCCACCCCCAGAAGGUUUAUGUUCUAAAAGGCAGAGGCAGAUAAUAUAAUAAACCAAAUAAAUAUGUAAAUCACGUGGUCUGUUAGCCAUUAUCAUUAGAAUGUAGUCUUUAUUAAUUAUUCAACAUACAUUUAUUGGGAACCUACUGUGUGGCAAGGACAUGGAGUUGGGCAAUAAAUAGACAACAAACUGUAGCCCUCAUGAAGGUUAUAUUCUGGUCGGGGUGAGAGACAACAAACUAGGUUAAAAAGGGGGCGGGGCACAAUGGCUCACGCCUGUAAUCCCAGCACUUUGGAGGCCGAGUCGGGUGGAUCACCUGAGGUCAGGAGUUCGAGACCAGCCUGCCCAACAUUGCGAAACCCUGUCUCUAAUAAAAACACAAAAAAAUUAGCCAGGAGUGGUGGUGGACGCCUGUAAUCCCAGCUACUCGGGAGGCUGAGGCAGAAGAAUCGCUUGAACCCGGGAGGCGGAGGUUGCAGUGAGCUGAGAUCACACCACUUGCACUCCAGCCUGGGAGAUAAGAGCAAAACUCCGUCUCAAAAAAAAAAAAAAAAAAAAAGUGAACUAUAUGUCAGUAGCGGGUGAUAAGCAUGCAGAAGGUGCUCAGUUCAUGCCAGGCUUUUAAAUUAUAAUUUAAUCUCCAUUCAUUAAUUCAAGAAUCUUCCUUCGUGCCAGGCAUUGUGAUAUGGCAGUUAACAAAACAGACCCCAGUCCCUGCCCUUGUGAGGAUUGGAUUCUGGCAGAGAGAAAGAGACAGUAACAAGAUAAGGAACAAGGAAGUUGCAUGUUCGAAGAGGAUGGGCACACGGCAGGUGGUCAAUUAGUGUUAGUUAUUAGCAGCACAUCCCCAUUCACUCAGUGAAUGCCCCUCGGUGUCCUUGGGCUCAGGAAGUGCCCUGCUUAGUGCAUCCUAAUGGCUGUUGCCACGACUCCCCUCCGAAAGCCUGGCGCAGCGGCAGUUUGGGGGCGGAUGGUGGCUUCGAGGUUUGGUGGAGCUGGAGAUCCGGAGGUCGGAGUCGGGGCAAGGUCCCAAAUGGGGAUGCGGCCGCGGCGUCCUCAGCUCUGAGGGAUCCCUGGGAAUAGUCACUGGCGGCGUUGGCCCAGAAGGAGCGGGGGCGGGAUAAAGAGAGCAGGAAGCGGAGGACGGAGCUUGGGGGUCCCCGACGGUUGGGGACAGGAAGAAGACCUGGAGGACUGCGGGGAGGGGCGAGGCGGCGGCGCACGUGGAGGGAGAGGUCGGCUUCUGGGGGUCCUGUAGGGGUGCCCGGCCAUCUUUAGGGAUGGGUCAGAAGGCAGAGGCACGUGGGUGCCACAGCGGCCUCUAGGGGUGCACGGACGGCGGCCAAACCUCCCCGUGUGUCCCCUGUGGCGCCUCUCCCUUGCUUUCCUGUUGGUGGUGUGUGUGUGUGGGAGAGUUGGGUGUUAGAUUUUGACCAGGAUGGCCUGACUUUGGGAACGGUUUUGUGGGAAGCUCUUUCAGGCCACAGAGCCUGUGCUGCCUCAACUCGGUUUUUUGGUAGCUCUGGAGAAAAGACAGUGACAGAGGAGGGGUCAUUCUGUCAGGGAAGAAAGACCCUGAUUGGAGGCGGCUGCCUGUCAAACUACACAUUUCCCAGGCUCCCUUGCAGCUAUGGCAACCACAUGCACAGUCCUGAUCAAUGAGAGGGCAGCAGAGGUGGGGCAUCCAGAGGGCUCUUAAAACAGGGCAGCCCCUGGCCCGGGAGUGGUGGCUCACACCCAUAAUCCCAGCACUUUGGGAGACCAAGGCCAGCGGAUCACCAGGUCAGGAGUUUGAGACCAGCCUGCCCAAUAUGGCAAAACCCCGUCUCUACUAAAAAUACAAAAAUUAGCCAGGUGUGGUGGUAGGCACCUGUAAUCCCAGCUACUCAGGAGGUUGAGGAAGGAGAAUCACUUGAACCUGGGAGGCAGAGGCUGCAAUGAGCCGAGAUCGUGCCACUGCACUCCAGCCUGGGUGACAAGAGCAAGACUCCAUCUCAAAAAACAAAACAAAACAAGAACGGGGCAGCCCCGGCCCUUCCCCAUCCCUCCUCUUCUUGACUCAGUAAGGCUGUGGUGGUCAGCUUGGGAUCAUAAGGUGGCCAUGAAGAAAAGUCCUGGAAACCUCAGAUCCAACUCCCUUGAGCUGCCAAAGCAAUUCUCACCACGUGGGAGAAAUUCAGCUCUCAGACUGUCCUCCAAUUUCCCACCUGUGGUCAAUGGCAGGCACCCCUUCUGCCAAGAAGCUACCAUGACCACCACAUUCAAGUUAAACCUGGACCUCCCACCAUCCCCAGUCAGGCCAAUGAGACAGUGGGGAAACAGGCCUGGUAAGGAUACUUCCUGCUAGUUUUCUUGCCUUCUCAGCCUAGGGUGUGGGUGUGGCUGGGACUGGCUGUGAGGCUCCUAUUUAUAAGGCAAGCACCCAUUUUCUCAUGGAUUCUACCAUUUUAUAUCCCGUGGAGCCAGUCAAGAUGGCUGCUCUAUUUUCAGUUAGUUUUUUGGGGGCAAUGGAUGGGCAGGGGAUUGACCUGACAGAGACCCACUCCCUCAUUCCUUCAUUACUCAUCGGCUCUGCUGGCCAGGGAUGUGGGGUUCUCCACCUGCUCAAAGUCAAAAAGCUUUCUCCAGGUUUUUUAACAGCUUGUACUUUAUUACAUAUGCAACCUUGCCAUGCCUGCCAGUUAACUCCCCUCCCGC
This 3062-nucleotide long non-coding RNA is filed under the name Homo sapiens (human). RNAcentral's name for it is "HSALNT0282501". Lineage: Eukaryota; Metazoa; Chordata; Mammalia; Primates; Hominidae. The record is from RNAcentral.